Molecule: non-coding RNA, 132 nt
Organism: Otolemur garnettii (small-eared galago)
Lineage: Eukaryota; Metazoa; Chordata; Mammalia; Primates; Galagidae
Source: Rfam
AUGAAAAGUAGAGUGUUAAGAUCAGAAGUCCAUAUGUGAGCAGUGUUAUUUCUUAUGUGCUAUACAAAUAGUUGAAGUUUAAUUAGCAGUAUAACUAUAAAUAGUAAUGCUGCCAGUCUCCUUCAGACAAAA